RNAcentral lists this ribosomal RNA (220 nucleotides) under Campeiostachys nutans. Its description in RNAcentral is "Elymus nutans partial small subunit ribosomal RNA". The stretch from base 48 to 220 matches the Rfam family "Eukaryotic small subunit ribosomal RNA", at positions 693 to 864 of the family's 1831-position model. Lineage: Eukaryota; Viridiplantae; Streptophyta; Magnoliopsida; Poales; Poaceae. The record is from RNAcentral.
GGGUCUACCCAUUGGUCAGGCUUAAUUGUCUGCACUGGUGAGAUGGAUCUCUACCUUCUGAGGAACUUUCAUGCCAUUUAUUUGGUGUGAUGGGAAAUCAGGACUGUUACUUUGAAAAAAUUAGAGUGUUUAAAACAGGCAUUUUUGCUUGAAUACAUUAGCAUGGAAUAAUGAAAUAGGACGGACUGAUUUUAUUUCGUUGGUUUCUAGGAUCACCGUA